Capsella rubella is the source of this 366-nucleotide long non-coding RNA. RefSeq lists it as uncharacterized. The record is from RefSeq and is a predicted model, not a curated record. The transcript is spliced from 3 exons. Lineage: Eukaryota; Viridiplantae; Streptophyta; Magnoliopsida; Brassicales; Brassicaceae.
GAGAAAGAGAGUCACAAUCGGAUCGCCGCUCAAAUGGGAGAGAAGCCUUUUGGGGGCUUUUGUUAAAUUUGGAAUCCCGCCACUUUAGUUUUCAGAAUUUGUACCAAACCAGCCGGGAUACUCUCCGAAGGUUCACUUUUCAACGUCGGAUAAUCCGUGAAUUGCCGCCAUUAAUCACAAGAACAUAGGGCCAUGUUAGUUAGGAUAAAAUAUCAAUUACACUUUUAUGUGUUUAUCCACCCCUCAAGAUUUACGUGAUCACACUUUUGUAUCUCUGCUUUUUUUUUACCCCAUAGAAAUAUCUAUCACAACCGCACAAAUCGCCAGAAAACGCAAACGCAUGAACAGAAUAUUCCAGCCCCAAAA